RNAcentral lists this ribosomal RNA (253 nucleotides) under uncultured bacterium. RNAcentral's name for it is "partial 16S ribosomal RNA". It matches the Rfam family "Bacterial small subunit ribosomal RNA", at positions 524 to 776 of the family's 1533-position model. The record is from RNAcentral.
UACGAAGGGGGCUAGCGUUGCUCGGAAUCACUGGGAGUAAAGGGUGCGUAGGCGGGGUUUUAAGUCAGGGGUGAAAUCCUGGAGCUCAACUCCAGAACUGCCUUUGAUACUGAAGAUCUUGAGUUCGGGAGAGGUGAGUGGAACUGCGAGUGUAGAGGUGAAAUUCGUAGAUAUUCGCAAGAACACCAGUGGCGAAGGCGGCUCACUGGCCCGAUACUGACGCUGAGGCACGAAAGCGUGGGGAGCAAACAGG